AACAUACGAAACUGCAAAUGGAUUUUCACCUAUCAUAUGGUACGUAAUCCGCAUAGACAGGUUAUUCCGACAUAUUAAAGGAUGAAUACAAAAAAUAGUAUUCCGUAUGAAUACGAAAGAAAUAAUACCCCUUACCUUAGUAGAAGGCUGGAUACUGAAAUAGUGAAGUAGCAGAAUACUCUUCUUCUCUCUAUAGUGUCUCUUGUGAAUCUCAGUGAAUUGGUGAGAAUGAAAGAAGAAUCAAGCUUUUAUUUAUAGGAGAAUGGACUAAAUAGUAACUAAUUCACGAACGGUCCAGAUUGAUUUACUAUUAGAACGGACGGUUCAUAUUGAUUACUAUUAAAACCACAACCGACGGUCUAGAUUGAUUUACUUUUAAAACCACCACCGACGG
RNAcentral lists this long non-coding RNA (394 nucleotides) under Panax ginseng (ginseng). RNAcentral describes it as "long non-coding RNA (PGIN_LNC002297)". The record is from RNAcentral. Lineage: Eukaryota; Viridiplantae; Streptophyta; Magnoliopsida; Apiales; Araliaceae.